GCCACUGAAUGGAUGGAUGUUCAGAGCCUCACAUCACGCGGCAGCCACGGCCUUUCUCUGAAUCACGUUCACGUCUGAAGUCAGGCGGCUGGGCAGGAGAGACAGGAACCCAGCCCAGCCAGUGUUUCCAGGAGCCCAGGCUUUGUGCUACGUACGGAGUGAGUCAGCCGAUGAAAUGCACCGUUACAGUGUGCGAAAUGCCACUGCCCCGGAGACAAGCAAAGCAAAAGCAAAACCUGGGCAAACAAAGAAAUGAUUUCUCUCAAACAAAUGGAUGGUGGCUAAAUCUCAUAAGGAACAAGCGAACCUGAGAGCUCUUCCUGGGACUGCAAAGAAAUAAACAAGGCGUAAGUUUUAAGGAAGUCAUGGCUCCUAUCUUCAAAGAGCUCAUGUUAUAGCAGUCUGGACAUUGCAACAGGAUAAGGAAAAUACAGCAACAACAGAAGCACACGUUAUAAUAACCCCUUCCAUGGAGUCCCCAGUGGAUUUUCUAAGGCUGUUUGGCAAUCCAGCAAAUUCCUCUGCUUCCCCAAGGAAGCUUCUAGAUGCUGUUGGAUGGCAUGCUGAAAACAACAGCAACUGAAGACAGCUUUUCUUCAGCAAAUAGCUGAAAUAAGUUCCUAUGAAUGUGUGUGUGUGUGUUUUCUUCCCCCAGAGUAUCAAAGAAGAUGGCAGAAACUGAGUCAAAUUCUCAAGUUGGAAUUGUUUCCUGGAGCCCAAACUGUCUGAUCUCUGGGACCUGUAUUAAAGGCUCUGUGCAGCUCUUCCCAGAAGAGAGAGUGUUUAAUCUGGUUGGAAUAAGUUUAUUAUAUCAAAGGUUGUCUUAGAGUCUUGCUGUAUUGAGGCUGAAUUAAGUGAAAAUUUCCUUCAAGCAUUAAGAUGCAACCAAAACACUUUGCUUUU
Balaenoptera acutorostrata (minke whale) is the source of this 903-nucleotide long non-coding RNA. RefSeq lists it as uncharacterized. The transcript is spliced from 3 exons. NCBI's taxonomy places the organism in Eukaryota, Metazoa, Chordata, Mammalia, Artiodactyla, Balaenopteridae. The record is from RefSeq and is a predicted model, not a curated record.